This is a non-coding RNA of Sordaria macrospora k-hell, 118 nucleotides long. Lineage: Eukaryota; Fungi; Ascomycota; Sordariomycetes; Sordariales; Sordariaceae. The record is from the annotation of a RefSeq genome assembly.
GCCCGAUUAGCUCAGCUGGUUAGAGCGUCGUACUAAUAUCAGUUCUUUGAUAUCAAGUUUCCUCCAGGGAAAUAUCAAGUCCAUGCGAAGGUCAACAGUUCAAUCCUGUUAUUGGGCA